RNAcentral lists this long non-coding RNA (220 nucleotides) under Mytilus galloprovincialis (Mediterranean mussel). The record is from RNAcentral. Lineage: Eukaryota; Metazoa; Mollusca; Bivalvia; Mytilida; Mytilidae.
GGGUUUUCAAAUUUUUAUUCAUCAUAUAUAUUUUAAGAUAUGUAAUAACAAGUUACAAUAACAGAACAAUAUAAAAUUUCAAACAAUAGUCCCUAUGUUGAAUGUUUCUUAUAAUGUUUAUACUAAAGCACUAAAUCAAUAAGUUAUUUUACACAACAGUUAAAGCACACUUGUUUAAAUGUCACAAGAGAAUAUGAUUUUAAAUAAACAUAUAAAGCAC